CCUACGGGGAGGCAGCAGUGGGGAAUUUUCCGCAAUGGGCGAAAGCCUGACGGAGCAACGCCGCGUGAGGGAUGAAGGCCUCUGGGCUGUAAACCUCUUUCAUCAAGGAAGAAGAUCUGACGGUACUUGAUGAAUAAGCCACGGCUAAUUCCGUGCCAGCAGCCGCGGUAAUACGGGAGUGGCAAGCGUUAUCCGGAAUUAUUGGGCGUAAAGCGUCCGCAGGCGGCCCUUCAAGUCUGCUGUUAAAAAGUGGAGCUUAACUCCAUCAUGGCAGUGGAAACUGUUGGGCUUGAGUGUGGUAGGGGCAGAGGGAAUUCCCGG
Molecule: ribosomal RNA, 321 nt
Filed under: uncultured bacterium
Lineage: Bacteria
Description: bacterial SSU rRNA
Rfam family: Bacterial small subunit ribosomal RNA
Source: RNAcentral